Molecule: non-coding RNA, 24 nt
Filed under: Arabidopsis thaliana (thale cress)
Lineage: Eukaryota; Viridiplantae; Streptophyta; Magnoliopsida; Brassicales; Brassicaceae
Source: RNAcentral
AGGAUGAUGGUAUUUUCAAGAAAA